RNAcentral lists this non-coding RNA (117 nucleotides) under Gorilla gorilla gorilla (western lowland gorilla). The record is from Rfam by way of RNAcentral. Lineage: Eukaryota; Metazoa; Chordata; Mammalia; Primates; Hominidae.
GCUGGGUGUGGUGGCUCACACCUGUAAUCCCAGCAUUUUGGGAGGCCGAGGCAGGUGGAUCACCUGAGGUCAGGAGUUCAAGACCAGCCUGGCCAACAUGGUGAAACCCUGUCUCUA